This 442-nucleotide ribosomal RNA is filed under the name uncultured archaeon. Its description in RNAcentral is "bacterial SSU rRNA". It matches the Rfam family "Archaeal small subunit ribosomal RNA", at positions 16 to 463 of the family's 1478-position model. The record is from RNAcentral.
GCCGGACCUGACUGCUAUCGGAUUGAUACUAAGCCAUGCGAGUCAUUGUAGCAAUACAAGGCAUACGGCUCAGUAACGCGUAGUCAACCUAACCUAUGGACGGGAAUAACCUCGGGAAACUGAGAAUAAUGCCCGAUAGAACAUUAUACCUGGAAUGGUUUAUGUUCCAAAUGAUUUAUCGCCGUAGGAUGGGACUGCGGCCUAUCAGUUUGUUGGUGAGGUAAUGGCCCACCAAGACUAUUACAGGUACGGGCUCUGAGAGGAGUAGCCCGGAGAUGGGUACUGAGACACGGACCCAGGCCCUAUGGGGCGCAGCAGGCGAGAAAACUUUGCAAUGUGCGAAAGCACGACAAGGUUAAUCCGAGUGGUUUCUGCUAAAGAAACCUUUUGUCAGUCCUAGAAACACUGAUGAAUAAGGGGUGGGCAAAUUCUGGUGUCAGCA